GAAUCCCGUCUUUGACACGGACUGCCUGUACAUUAUGGUGUGCUCUCGAAGAGUCGAGUUGUUUGGGAAUGCAGCUCAAAAUGGGUGGUAAAUGCCAUCUAAAGCUAAAUAUUGGCGAGAGACCGAUAGCGAACAAGUACCGUGAGGGAAAGAUGAAAAGAACUUUGGAAAGAGAGUUAAACAGUACGUGAAAUUGCUGAAAGGGAAACGCUUGAAGUCAGUCGCGUUGGCUAGAAAUCAACCUUGCUUUUGCUUUGUGUACUUUCUGGUUGACGGGUCAGCAUCAAUUUUGACCACUGGAUAAAGUUUUUGGGAAUGUGGCAUCUUCGGAUGUGUUAUAGCCCAUUGUCGCAUACGGUGGUUGGGAUUGAGGAACUCAGCACGCCGCAAGGCCGGGUUUCGACCACGUUCGUGCUUAGGAUGCUGGCAUAAUGGCUUUAAUCGACCCGUCUUGAAACACGGACCAAGGAGUCUAACAUGCCUGCGAGUGUUUGGGUGGAAAAACCCAUGCGCGCAAUGAAAGUGAAAGUUGAGAUCCUCUUCAAAGGGGGAGCAUUGACGCCCGGACCAGACCUUUUGUGACGGAUCCGCGGUAGAGCAUGCAUGUUGGGACCCGAAAGAUGGUGAACUAUGCCUGAAUAGGGUGAAGCCAGAGGAAACUCUGGUGGAGGCUCGUAGCGAUUCUGACGUGCAAAUCGAUCGUCAAAUUUGGGUAUAGGGGCGAAAGACUAAUCGAACCAUCUAGUAGCUGGUUCCUGCC
RNAcentral lists this ribosomal RNA (760 nucleotides) under uncultured Inocybe. Its description in RNAcentral is "partial 28S ribosomal RNA". It matches the Rfam family "Eukaryotic large subunit ribosomal RNA", at positions 216 to 962 of the family's 3401-position model. Lineage: Eukaryota; Fungi; Basidiomycota; Agaricomycetes; Agaricales; Cortinariaceae. The record is from RNAcentral.